AACUUGUUUUCAGGAAGGAUGCAGAAGAGUUUGGAGCUGCUGAUGUGGUAGAAUUCUACAAGAUUUUGACAGAAUCUAAUUAUUCCUGGCUAUCUAACUCCCACUGGAGUAAUGAUUAUCCAAAGGACAAAAACGUAAAGACUUGUAGAAAAUGGAACCUCACAAACUUUUUGUGGAAUGCAAAUUAGUAUGGAAAACAUGAGCUGUUCCUGCUGAGAUGUCGUUUCUGCUUCGGACUUCUAUAUGCAAGACUAUUUUCAACUUCUGCAAGCCAAGUUUUUGUCACUCUGUAUAAAAACAGCACAUCAACUAAGCAUCUUUAGAUAUUGUCAAAGCUAUACAUUUGUCUAUUUGAUGGCAUUGCUAUAGAAACACAGCUCAGUGAGAUUACUGCCCUCCCCUAAGAAUAUACAUUAUUUCUGAUUCUUCCUCAAAAUAAUGCAUCUCCUGACAUCCUGUGCCAGGUCUCAAAACUUUUUUUUUAUUAGGUAUUUUCCUCGUUUACAUUUUCAAUGCUAUCCCAAAGG
Long non-coding RNA from Mus musculus (house mouse), 527 nucleotides. RefSeq annotates it as predicted gene, 35472. The transcript has 3 exons. The record is from RefSeq and is a predicted model, not a curated record. Lineage: Eukaryota; Metazoa; Chordata; Mammalia; Rodentia; Muridae.